CAUCACGUUUUUCUCUUCUUUUUCCCUGAGUCACAACAAAAACCCUAAUUUUUUUCUUCACUCACCAAACCCUCACUCGUUUGUAAAUCGGAAUCCCUAAACCCAUCAAUCAGAAUCCUCUUUCUCUUCGUUCAUCAAUCUGAGAAUAUCCAAAUCCUAAUUCGUAAAUCCAUGAAUGGAAUCCUUCACUCGUAAUCACUUGUAACCCUCGUUCCCUCUUUCCCCUCAAAUGUCACAGAUGAUUCUGAGAAUCACUUUUGAAACGACGAUUCUCAAACAUGAGCACUCGUAAUCACUUUUGAAACCCUCAUUUCGUUCUCCCACUCAAACCUUCACAUAUUAUCCAGAUCUCAACGACUCAAACGAUGAUUCUCGAUUUUCAACCUUCUAUGAAUUCGUAACCGGCAAUCUUAAAUGAUGACUAUCUAUUUUUCCUCCUCUUGUGCCAAGGAGAGAUGAAGAUAGGAAGAUCAUUAUACGACUUUAUAGUAAAGGGUUCAUUCCUCCCAUUGAAGUUGCAAAGGCCAUUAAUUAUGCAAUACGAAAUCAGUGACGAGUUCUUGAAAUUCUCCGAUCAAAAUAAGACUGCCGAGCUUUGUCAAGAGGCAGAGCGGUCUACACCUCAGCCCGCAAGGACCAUAUUGAAGUGGCACAUGAACUUAAUGUAGUGGACGAGAUAAAGAAAAAUCUUAAAGUGCUAAGAUUACAAAAGUUGAAGUCAAUAAAGCCAAUCCGACACUUCAAGAAUUGCCAAAGGAUUAAGUAUCAUAAAAGAAUUUUACAACCCAAACUGGAGUUUGAAUUUGAACCGACGCUGAAGCAGAUUCUAACUACAAGUAACAAACCCCAAUUCCUCUUACUUUUACUUCUCUUGCAGUUACUUACAGUUGUGUUUUGUUGUGUGUCUCUAGUGUUAUUAAUAUUUCAAUAUGAGCUUGUGGAGCUAAGUUAAGUUUCUGCUUUAUUUUAGUUAAUAUUGUCUAUUAGAAUGUAUGUUAGUUUGUUAUAGUUACUGCCCCACUAGCGUUUAUAAGUCUCAGAGAUAUGACUCCAAAUGUAGAAUGAUAGUAUUAAUAAGUCGUUUGUUAAUAGCGUUUAUUUAUGUGAUAGAUGUUUAGACUUUAGGACUUAUUCUAACAUGGACUGAAAAUAAAAAGGGGAUUAUAUGGGAUAAUCUUGGAUGAGCAGAUUGAAGGGGAUUAUUUAUGUGAUUUGAAAAUCUCUUAAACUUUCUAUCACGUUGUGUUGAUAACUUGCUAUGGUUGAUUAUUAUCUUACACUUUCUUUGUUGA
Long non-coding RNA from Trifolium pratense (red clover), 1292 nucleotides. RefSeq lists it as uncharacterized. The record is from RefSeq and is a predicted model, not a curated record. The transcript is spliced from 5 exons. Lineage: Eukaryota; Viridiplantae; Streptophyta; Magnoliopsida; Fabales; Fabaceae.